RNAcentral lists this ribosomal RNA (398 nucleotides) under uncultured bacterium. Its description in RNAcentral is "partial 16S ribosomal RNA". It matches the Rfam family "Bacterial small subunit ribosomal RNA", at positions 360 to 775 of the family's 1533-position model. The record is from RNAcentral.
AAUAUUUGACAAUGGGCGCAAGCCUGAUCCAGCCAUGCCGCGUGAGUGAUGAACGCCCUAGGGUUGUAAAGCUCUUUCAACGGUGCAGAUAAUGCCGGUAACCGUAGAAGAUGCCCCCGCUAACUUCGUGCCAGCAGACGCGGUAAUACGAAGGGGGCUAGCGUUGUUCGGAAUUAGUGGGCGUAAAGCGCACGUAGGCGGAUCGGUCAGUUAGGGGUGAAAUCCCAGGGCUCAAUCCUGGAACUGCCUUUAAUACUGCUGGUCUAGAGUUCGAGAGAGGUGAGUGGAAAUCCGAGUGUAGAGGUGAAAUUCGUAGAUAUUCGGAGGAACACCAGUGGCGAAGGCGGCUCACUGGCUCGAUACUGACGCUGAGGUGCGAAAGCGUGGGGAGCAAACAG